UACAGAGACCUCAAGCGUUAUCCGGAAUCAUUGGGCGUAAAGCGUACCGAUAGGUGGUUUUACAAGUCAGAAGUGAAAUCCCAAAGCUUAACUUUGGGCCUGUCUUUUGAAACUGUAAAACUAGAGGAACAAAGAGGAAGCUGGAACGAACGGUGUAGUAGUGAAAUGCGUUGAUAUCGUUCGGAACACCAAUAGCGUAGGCAGGCUUCUGGGUGUUUCCUGACACUGCUAGGACGAAAGCGUGGGGAGCGAUAAGG
RNAcentral lists this ribosomal RNA (257 nucleotides) under uncultured bacterium. RNAcentral describes it as "partial 16S ribosomal RNA". It matches the Rfam family "Bacterial small subunit ribosomal RNA", at positions 524 to 776 of the family's 1533-position model. The record is from RNAcentral.